This 510-nucleotide ribosomal RNA is filed under the name uncultured bacterium. RNAcentral describes it as "partial 16S ribosomal RNA". It matches the Rfam family "Bacterial small subunit ribosomal RNA", at positions 28 to 507 of the family's 1533-position model. The record is from RNAcentral.
GACGAACGCUGGCGGCGUGCUUAACACAUGCAAGUCGAACGAAGAGCGAUGGAAGCUUGCUUCUAUCAAUCUUAGUGGCGAACGGGUGAGUAACGCGUAAUCAACCUGCCCUUCAGAGGGGGACAACAGUUGGAAACGACUGCUAAUACCGCAUACGAUCCAAUCUCGGCAUCGGGACUGGAUGAAAGGUGGCCUCUAUUUAUAAGCUAUCACUGAAGGAGGGGAUUGCGUCUGAUUAGCUAGUUGGAGGGGUAACGGCCCACCAAGGCGAUGAUCAGUAGCCGGUCUGAGAGGAUGAACGGCCACAUUGGGACUGAGACACGGCCCAGACUCCUACGGGAGGCAGCAGUGGGGAAUCUUCCGCAAUGGACGAAAGUCUGACGGAGCAACGCCGCGUGAGUGAUGACGGCCUUCGGGUUGUAAAGCUCGGUUAAUCGGGACGAAUGGUUCUUGUGCGAAUAGUGCGAGGAUUUGACGGUACCGGAAUAGAAAGCCACGGCUAACUACGUG